Molecule: long non-coding RNA, 536 nt
Organism: Anopheles cruzii
Lineage: Eukaryota; Metazoa; Arthropoda; Insecta; Diptera; Culicidae
Exons: 3
Source: RefSeq, a predicted model, not a curated record
AUGGAUACAGGCCAGAAAGAGAGAUCAAGCGAGAAAUAUUUUCUGUCUUCUUCGCACUAUAGAGCCGCAUUAUAAUGCGGCACUUCACGGAACGUUCCAAGCUGCCAAAAUGUACGCUUCAUUUUCUUGGUUUAGAUUCGCGGUGUAAACGAAAAUUAUUGUGCGCGAAAAUCUUGUAAAAUAGAUAAUUUAAAGCAUCUGUUUAUUACGGUUUUAUUAUUGUUCUGGGGCAACACUUCAGUGAGCAGGGACUUUGGCGCGGAGCGUUCCGGUGCAUUUCGGCAACAACGCGUCAGAUUGGCAACAGCGCGACAUUUCGAUGCAACGUAAUUUUUUCAGAUGCCUUCCCAAGCCAACCAUUGCCUUUGGCAUUGAAUGCCAACGAAGGAGCGGACAAUGCUGUGCGGACAAUGCUGUGCGGACAAUGCUGUGCGGAUGAUGGAAUGCGGCCGCGUAGUGCUAAACUUAAUCAAGGAGUGCAGUGAAAAGUGCUUGCCGGAAGCAUUAAACAAUUGUAGAAAAGUUUUAGAGUAAGG